AACGAACGCUGGCGGCGUGCCUAACACAUGCAAGUCGAGCGCGAAAGUCCCCUCGGGGGCGAAGUAGAGCGGCAGACGGGUGAGUAAUACAUAGGUAAUCUACCUUCGGGAUCGGGAUAACUCUGCGAAAGUGGAGCUAAUACCGGAUAAGACCACAUUACAUAAGUCAUGUGGUAAAAGGUGGCCUGUAUUUAUACUAGCUAUCACCUGAGGAUGAGCCUUUGGCCUAUCAGCUUGUUGGUAAGGUAAAAGCUUACCAAGGCUAUGACGGGUAGCUGGUCUGAGAGGAUGAUCAGCCACACUGGGACUGAGACACGGCCCAGACUCCUACGGGAGGCUG
This 340-nucleotide ribosomal RNA is filed under the name uncultured Pseudomonadota bacterium. Its description in RNAcentral is "bacterial SSU rRNA". It matches the Rfam family "Bacterial small subunit ribosomal RNA", at positions 29 to 351 of the family's 1533-position model. Lineage: Bacteria; Pseudomonadati; Pseudomonadota. The record is from RNAcentral.